This 202-nucleotide long non-coding RNA is filed under the name Elaeis guineensis (African oil palm). RNAcentral describes it as "long non-coding RNA (EGUI_LNC025303)". Lineage: Eukaryota; Viridiplantae; Streptophyta; Magnoliopsida; Arecales; Arecaceae. The record is from RNAcentral.
CGCUAGGCCACUCCCUCGAUGGUGAUCAGCAUCUCAUCCUUUAUUGAUAAUCAAAUAGCAUGUAGGCACAUUUUGUUUGCACGCACAAGCAGAAUCAAUCUGUGGCAAUCUCAUAUUCCUAGCUUAAAAAGUUGUUCUUUAAAAUCCUACGUGCAGUCGGAAAUUUCAAGCCAAUUUUAUGAUUCCAUGUCACAGCAGCCCA